GACGAAGGUGGCGAGCGUUGUUCGGAAUCACUGGGCAUAAAGCGCACGUAGGCGGCUAAGUAAGUCGGAUGUGAAAUACCUCGGCUCAACCGAGGAACUGCGUCCGAUACUGCUUGGCUUGAGGUCCGGAGGGGAGAGUGGAAUUCCCGGUGGAGCGGUGAAAUGCGCAGAUAUCAGGAGGAACACCGGUGGCGAAGGCGGAUCUCUGGGCCUUACCUGACGCUGAGGCGCGAAAGCUAGGGGAGCGAACAGG
RNAcentral lists this ribosomal RNA (253 nucleotides) under uncultured bacterium. RNAcentral describes it as "partial 16S ribosomal RNA". It matches the Rfam family "Bacterial small subunit ribosomal RNA", at positions 524 to 776 of the family's 1533-position model. The record is from RNAcentral.